AAGAGAGAGACAUGCGCGCAUAUCAAUAAGCGGAGGAAAAGAAACUAACUAGGAUUCCCUCAGUAACGGCGAGUGAAGCGGGAAGAGCUCAAAUUUGAAAUCUUCAAGGUUCUACCUUGACGAAUUGUAGUUUAAAGAAGUGUUUUCUGUUGGAGUUUUGGUAAAAGUUCUUUGGAAUAGGACAUCAUAGAGGGUGAGAAUCCCGUAUUUGACCAGUUACUUUCCAGCUGUGUGAUACACUUUCAAAGAGUCGGAUUGUUUGGGAAUGCAGUCCAAGAUGGGUGGUAAAUUUCAUCUAAAGCUAAAUACUGGCGAGAGACCGAUAGCGAACAAGUACCGUGAGGGAAAGAUGAAAAGAACUCUGAAAAGAGAGUUAAACAGUACGUGAAAUUGUCAAAAGGGAAGCGUUUGACACCAGUGUUGUUUUUCCGAAAAUCAAUUACGAAUGUUUUAUUUUUGAGGAGUUAUGACUUCAUCGGCUUGCUCCUUUCUUUAUGAAACUUUCUUAAUGCACUUUUCGGUUAACAAGUCAACAUCAAUUUCUUUUGUUGUAAAAGGGUAUGAGGAAGGUGGCUUUCUUUUCGGAGAAAGUGUUUAUAGCCUUGUAGCCUCUGCAAUCGGAGAGAUUGAGGUCUGCAGCGUAGAUCCUUCGGGGUUAGAUACGUUUGUGCUAAGUUAUAGCUUUUCAUAGACAACUUGUUGACUAUGUUUAGUCUUGUAGCUUACUCGCUGAUGCUAUUUUACCUACGCUUAGGAUGUUGAUAGUCACAGCGUGUAC
This 778-nucleotide ribosomal RNA is filed under the name uncultured Neocallimastigales. Its description in RNAcentral is "partial large subunit ribosomal RNA". It matches the Rfam family "Eukaryotic large subunit ribosomal RNA", at positions 23 to 644 of the family's 3401-position model. Lineage: Eukaryota; Fungi; Neocallimastigomycota; Neocallimastigomycetes; Neocallimastigales. The record is from RNAcentral.